GACGAACGCUGGCGGCGUGCUUAACACAUGCAAGUCGAACGGAAAGGCCCUGCUUUUGUGGGGUUCUCGAGUGGGGAACGGGGGAGUAACACGUAAGUAACCUGCCCUUCACUUUGGGAUAACUUCAGGAAACUGGGCCUAAUCCCGGAUAGGAGCUCCUGCUCCAGGGUGGGGGUUGGAAAGUUUCGGCGGUUGGGGAUGGACUCGCGGCUUAUCAGCUUGUUGGUGGGCUGGUGGCUGACCAAGGCUUUGACGGGUAGCCGGCCUGGGAGGGUGCACGGCCACAUUGGGCCUACGGUACGGCCCAGACUCGUACGGGAGGCAGCAGUGGGGAGUAUUGCACAAUGGGCGGACGCGUGAUGCAGAAACGCCGCGUGCGGGAUGACGGCUUUCGGGUUGUAAACCGCUUUCGCUUGUGACGAAGCGUGAGUGACGGUAAUGGGUAAAGAAGCACCGGCUAACUACGU
Molecule: ribosomal RNA, 467 nt
Filed under: uncultured bacterium
Lineage: Bacteria
Description: partial 16S ribosomal RNA
Rfam family: Bacterial small subunit ribosomal RNA
Source: RNAcentral